CUCUGGGUCUAAAAGGAGAGUCUUCACUUCUCCGCCAAUGAGCUUCUCGCAGCCUGAUGACGUAGGUGGUGACGUCAGUUCUAUUUGCAGGCAAGGGCCAUUUACACCAGGAUUUCAUCCAGGGUACUUAACAACGCGAUGGGGUUGAAGACGAUGACGCUCCCCAUGACGUCAACCAUGACAGGAAACUCGCGAUGAUUCGACAUCCUUUUAGUCUCUGGGGCUGCGUGGCUGCUUCCAACAGUGCCUGGAUCCUCAAGAGGAAGGAGCGGGAGUGACAGUGACUGCAACAAUGGACUCACAUAAGAACAGCCAGGAGGCUGGCGCAGGGCCGGGCGGUAUUUCCUUCUGGCGUCCACAGGCUCGCCAGGAGUCGGAGCGUGUCUCACCCCCCAGUCUGACCUCACGUGAGUGCCCUAUACCAGGCGAUGACUGGCUCUAUGGAUUACCAUCUUGGUCAAGAGCACACUGCACUAGAAGACCUCUGUUCUUUGACAAGGGAAAGACCACCAGCCCCUAACUGCACAAAGACAAGUUGACAGCCUCAGGGACAGCCCGGUAGCAUGUCUAGUACAUUCCAUUCCUUGACCCCACCACAGGCGCAGCACAGGGACUGCCAUGAGUCGAAGGCAAGGCAAGGGCAACUGGUAGCUCGUUAUCUAUUGCAGUGACAUAAUGACACCAAG
Molecule: long non-coding RNA, 686 nt
Organism: Echinops telfairi (small Madagascar hedgehog)
Lineage: Eukaryota; Metazoa; Chordata; Mammalia; Afrosoricida; Tenrecidae
Exons: 3
Source: RefSeq, a predicted model, not a curated record